ACUUGGAUAACCGUAGUAAUUCUAAAGCUAAUACAUGCGUAAAGGCCCGACUUCUGAAAGGGUGUAUUUAUUAUAUAUAAACCUCCUCCCUUUUGGGAUAUUUUGGGGAGAUAUAAUAACUUAUCGGAUCGCAAAGGCCUUGUGCCGGCGAUGAAUCAUUCAAGUUUCUGCCCUAUCAGCUUUCGAUGGUAGGGUAUUGGACUACCAUGGCGGUAACGGGUAACGAAGAAUAAGGGUUCGAUUCCGGAAAGGGAGCCUGAAAAACGGCUACCACAUCCAAGGAAGGCAGCAGGCGCGUAAAUUACCCAAUCCUGACACAGGGAGGUAGGGACAAUAAAUAACAAUGCGGACCUCUUUCACUUUUGCGAUUGGAAUGAAAACAAUUUAAAUCCCUUAUCCAGGAUUAAUU
RNAcentral lists this ribosomal RNA (409 nucleotides) under uncultured picoeukaryote. Its description in RNAcentral is "bacterial SSU rRNA". It matches the Rfam family "Eukaryotic small subunit ribosomal RNA", at positions 137 to 549 of the family's 1831-position model. The record is from RNAcentral.